CAACCAUCAAGCCCUAGGCUUGUGUUGGGGUUCUGCGGCUGUCCGCAGGCCCUGAAAAUCAGUGGCGGGCUCGUUGUCAAACCGAGUGCAGUAGUAAUAUUCUCUCUGGUCUUACAGCUUGUUCUUGCCGUAAAACAAUCCAAUUUCUAA
Molecule: unclassified non-coding RNA, 150 nt
Filed under: Lasiosphaeria hispida
Lineage: Eukaryota; Fungi; Ascomycota; Sordariomycetes; Sordariales; Lasiosphaeriaceae
Description: partial internal transcribed spacer 2
Source: RNAcentral